AAAAUAUUGGCAGAAUAUUGCAUUAGAAUUAGAAUCUAAACUCAA
This 45-nucleotide transfer RNA is filed under the name Pimoa altioculata. RNAcentral describes it as "tRNA-Leu". Lineage: Eukaryota; Metazoa; Arthropoda; Arachnida; Araneae; Pimoidae. The record is from RNAcentral.